Long non-coding RNA from Austrofundulus limnaeus, 531 nucleotides. RefSeq lists it as uncharacterized. NCBI's taxonomy places the organism in Eukaryota, Metazoa, Chordata, Actinopteri, Cyprinodontiformes, Rivulidae. The record is from RefSeq and is a predicted model, not a curated record. The transcript is spliced from 2 exons.
CCAYGCCCACUCACACCUGCACACUGUUUCAUGCAGCACAGCUGCAGCCACUCUUCCCAUCAGUCCUAAMCCAGAAACCCUGCCCGAUUCUCCUCUCUCAGCAGUCGAGCAUUUCACAUGUGGUGACCGGUCCUCUCUGUGGUCCUGCUGCUCKUUAAGAGUCUCUCAGCGCUUUUGAGGGAGCAGGAGAUGGACCAAUGGACUGGUGCCUCAUUCUCAGUAAUGAGGGCGUUGCUUCGGUUGGCCGUGGUGAAGAAAGCUGAGUCGAAAGACAAAGCUCUGGAUUUACUGGUCUGUCAGGUCUCCCAGGAUGAGCUGGGGAGGGGGAUGCCUGGACCUGCUGUCUCCACGACCCAACUAUGGAUCAGCAUCAGAGGAUGGAGAUUCUUCAGCUCCUCGUGUUCACUCCACAUCCCUGGGUCCCGACCUCCUGAAACUGUGACAACCAUCCCCUAAAAAGUCACCACUUUACAUACAAAAUGUGUCUAUUUUCCUAAAAUAAAGAGUUUUAGUGUUUCUCCUGGUCUGACA